GCCGGUUAGCUCAGUUGGGUAGAGCAUCAGACUUUUAAUCUGAGGGCCAUGGGUUCGAGUCCCAUAUCGGGCU
This 73-nucleotide transfer RNA is filed under the name Dendronephthya gigantea. RNAcentral's name for it is "tRNA-Lys". It matches the Rfam family "tRNA". From Rfam's summary of the family: Transfer RNA (tRNA) molecules are approximately 80 nucleotides in length. The record is from RNAcentral. Lineage: Eukaryota; Metazoa; Cnidaria; Anthozoa; Malacalcyonacea; Nephtheidae.